Molecule: long non-coding RNA, 9694 nt
Filed under: Homo sapiens (human)
Lineage: Eukaryota; Metazoa; Chordata; Mammalia; Primates; Hominidae
Description: HSALNT0128437
Source: RNAcentral
CACAACCAAGUGAGCACUGGAAACCUGGUCAUAGGAAAUGAAACAGACUGCUGUUUUCAUGAGUGACCUGUUCUCGAGCCUAAGAAUCUCUUGGGCCACCCAGCCCCACAGAGGCCAGUAGGAGGUCAACUCUCCACCUCCCUAAAAAAAAAAAAAACGAGUGUGCGAGAAGUAUGUUGUAAUUGAAGUAGCAUACUGCCUGACACCCAAGAGGUUGCUCUGUAAGUGAAUUGCCUUUCACCUCCUGCCAUGAUUCUGAGGCCCCCAGCCAUGUGGAACUGUAAGUCCAAUUAAACUUUUUGUUCCCAGUUUCAGGUAUGUUUUUAUCAGCAGCGUGAAAACAAACUGAUACAAAUUAUUAAUAAGCAUGUGUGUUUUAAAUAGUAAAUAAUAAAAAAUAAUUCUUUAGUGAUUUAGUAGAUUUUCUAAUUAAGAACAAUUUAAAAACACAUUAGUAUAUGUAAAGUAACAUGGAAUGUAAAUGCUGAAUUAAGUGAGACAUCAGAAUGGGGCAAAAUUAAUUGGGAAGGCAUUUUUAUGUGGCGAUUUAAAAAUUAUGUUGAAAACUAUAGAAUGCCAGAAAAGAUAGGAUUGUAUUUGACGAAGAGCUCAUGGAACAUGAAAAGACAUAAGGUAGAAAAGAGUUAAUGAGGUUAUCCAAGUUAGAAAGUGAAGCAAUGUUUCAAUUACUAAGGUCUAAAGAGUAGGUAGAAUUCAAUUAUUUCUCCUUUGUAUAAAGUUGAUUUUUCCUUUACUUUGAUGUUUUUCAUUUAUUUUAAUAAGACAUACUAAAAAAGCAGGGUCUUGAUCAUACUAACUAGACCUUUUGAGUGAUUUAACUGCUUAACUGUGGGCAUUGCUUCCAUUCUUGACUUUUUCACUCUAGUUUCCUAUUUUAUAGAAAUAUUUGAACAUAGGAUUUUUAGCAAGUAUUAUCUGAUUAUUAAAUGACAAAUUCAGAACAUUAUUCUAUACCACAGCAAAAAGCUAUGUUUCCUCCCAGAAACACCAAUGAUUCAAUUUGUCGUCUUGGACAACUUACAAACACCUAAACAGCUCACCUGCUGAAAUUCUUACCUUGGACUUUGUGUAGUCAACAUUUGUGUUUCCAUUAAUUUACAUUUUUUAUGUCCAAUUAUUCACUCUCCAUACUUAUUCAAAUUCCCAAGCAACAUAGAUGUUUGGUUACACUCAAUACAUAUAUAUGUAUUUAUGUUAUGUAUAUGUGUAUACAUGUAUAUGUAUUUACGUACAUGCAUGAGUGUAUACAUGUGUAAGAUACAUGUCAUGCGCACAUAUACACAUACUAUAUACACAUGUAUGAGUGUAUACAUGUGUAUGAUACAUGCCAUGCACACAUAUACACAUACUAUAUACAUGUGUACACAUGUAUAUAUAUAGUGAAUAUGAUUUAAAUUUAGUAAGAAAAAUAACUACAUCUAUACAUUAGUUUAAUAGAGCAUCUACUACUGGAAUUGUAAAAUUUCUUUUAAAAUAUUUCAGUUGAUUGCUAGUUUUUAAUAAUAUAAACUGAAGGAAUAUAAAGGAAGGGGCCACAUCAAAACACCACUUAUGCGUCAUUUCAAAUCAGUUAUAUCACUCAAGUUUUCUAAAAUUAUAAGUAAAAUUAAAAAGAGUGGAAAAUACAUCAGAUGUAAAAGAAUGUUUUCAGUUCAAGGACAAAAUUAAUUAUCUAAAUUAUCCCAGCAGGUUUGGUGGUCUUCUUUGUAUGAGCCACCUGCUUUUCCCUUUCUUGUCGCCCUGGCUUUUUACAAUCGUGCCCGUAACCCUGUCAUUGACCAUGUUAUCGUUUAAGAGCUUUGUGAUUUUAGAAGGAUGUGUGUGGGUCAUGUUUAAGCCAUUGUCAGUUGCUAUUAUAAUUACAGUGAUUGUUAUCUAGUGAAAGCUUUGCUGGCAGAAUUCCACCAGAAGGCUAAAACUUGCAUCCAAGUUUUCAUUAAGCUAUUGGGGUUUGUCAUUCUAUUUAAAAUGAGAUUUAAUUCUGUUUUUAUUAAAGUGUAAGCAUUAUUGAAUUCCAUAACUAUCAAAAAGGGCUUUCAAAUUUAUUUAAAAAUCAGUUAACUAAUUAAAGACCGUCACAAACCAGGACAUUAAAUCACAUAUGAUGCAUAUUUGUGAUAUCAGUUCUUAAAACAGGUAUAUACAUAAAAUACAGUAUUAUUUUUCUGAACCAAAUUUUUUUAUGAAACAGAAAAUUUCUGAAACCAUAGACUAUUUGGUUUAAAAAAAAUCAUGUUAUAUAACCCAGCAAUUGAACUCCUUUGUAUUUACCCAAAGGAGUUGAAAACUUACAUCCACACAGAGGGAUCCACUGCACAGGGAGGUUUAUAGCCUUGGGAAGCAGUGGUUGCCAGGGUAUGGGAGGAGGAAGCGAUAAAUAGAUGAAACACAGUGGAGUUCCAGGGCAAGGAAACUGUUUUAUAAGAUACUGUAUUGCUGGAUACAUGUCAUUAUACAUUUGCCCAAACCCAUGAACGGUACAAGAUCAAUAGUCAGCCCUAUGUAAACUAUGGACUUCAGGUGAUUAUGAAAUAUCAGUGUAGGUUUGUUGAUUGUAACAAAUAUACCACUCUUUUUUUUUUUUUUUUUUGAGAUGGAGUCUCCUACAUACCACUCUUAAUGGGGGUUGUUGUUAAGAGGGGAGGCUGCGCAUAUGUGGGGUAGGCAAUAUGUGGGAAAUCUCUAUGUCUUCCUCUUAAUUUUGCUGUGAACCUAAAACUUCUCUUAAAACUAAUGUCUUUUAAUAAAAAAACAUGUUUUACUUUGUGAUCAGUAAAAAUUAUGCCCAAGAUUAUACUUAGAUACAUAACUAGUUACAAAUCAUUACAAUAAUUCCCCUGAGAAAGUUUACUUUUGUUCACUAUUGUUUACAUACAAGAAAAAGUUAAUGGUUUUAUAAGGAAGAUAUUUAGUAAUCAGAAUUGAAUAUGUGUAUACUACAUUUGAUCAGAAAAUACCUAAAAUUAUUACCUGGGAAUAUUGGUUAAUUCAUUCUAUUGUGUAUGCACCCAUGUGUGAUGAAGGGAGAAGGGAGAUGAAAUAAUACCAGCAUCCUGAACCUGAAUGUCCAGCUUCGCCUUGUUCUUUGUGGAUUAUAAGACCAUUGAUUAAAUAAAUCCUUUCAUCAAAAUUAUCUUGUAAGUAGAAGUUCAACAAAUAACUUGCUUCACAUGUGAAGACACAAAAGUACACAAAUCAAAACCAAAAAACCUAAGGCUACCUGAUGGCAAGAUAACACUUGGAGAGCUAGAAACGCGAGGUUUUUAUUUUUCUGUAUCUAGCGUUUAUAUCGACUUCCAAAAUUGGUUGUUUGUAUCCUAGUCUGUAAAAUGGUGCGGAUAUAAAUUAAACUUAGGAGAGUGUUGUGAUGUUUUCACCAGUAAACACUUAGGUCCAAGAAUGAAGGAGAACUAAUACAUAUUCACUGUCUAAUAUAUACCAACACUAAGCAUAUAUGUGAUGAUAUUUAAUGUCCUUGGCCACUCCUCAGACUUCCUGGAUGUGUCUCCUCUCACAAGUGGAAUUUAUAAAUAGCAAGGGAUGGUUGAUUUUUAACCCCAGUUCAAGAAAGCUAAGUUAAAUGCUCUGUAAGGACUCUAAACGUGAGUCAUUAAUAAAACAAUUGCUGAUAUAUUAGAAGAGUACAAACUAGGAUCACCUAGUCAAGAGUGAAUUAUUUUUAUAAGCAAUGAUGUUUAGGUUUUACAAAAUUACAAACAAUUUAUUUCAUAGUCUAUCCUUGUUAUAAAAUGAACAAAACAUAAUCUUUAAUUAUUAAACAAAUUUAGAGAUCAAAUAGAUAAGCUUUACAUUUAGCAACUGCACCAACUGGCAGACAUUUGGGCUACACUGACAAUAUGUGAAAUAUGUGCUCAAGUGUAUAUUUAAUAAAACACAAGGAUUUUAUGGUAUAAUGCAUUGUGUUAAUGCAUUUGGUUGGUUCCAGUGUGAACUACAUAUACUGUAUUCAUUUCAACAGUAAACUUCCUAAAUAAAACACACAAACAUUUAAGCAACAUAUAGCAUUAUGACGUUACCCUUAAAAUAAUCUCUAAUACAGUAUUUUAAAUCCAUAUUCCAGAAAAAAGAAACUACCAUCUAAAUCCAGUUAUUCCAUCUGACUUGGUAGCAGUGAUGUUUGGAGUUUAGGACCUAAAGGUGAAAUGGGGAAAAUCUGGGUGCUCGGAAAGACACCAGAAGCACACAGAAGAAGAUCAUAUGAAGACACAACAAGAAGGUGACUAGCUGCAAGCCAAGAAGAGAAGCCUCAGAAGAAAUCAAACGUACUAGCACCUUGAUCUUGGAAUUCCAGUCUCCAAAGCUGCGAGAAAAUAAAAUUCUGUUGCUUAAGCUGCCAAGACUAUGGUAUUUUCUUAUGGCAAUCUUAGCAAAAUAACCCUAUUAGCAAACAAAUGCAUACAAAAUCUCUGUAAAUACAGCAGGUUUCCUUUUUAAAAAAACUCUUUAUUUUGAAAAAUUAUAGUUCUACAACAAAUAAUAAAAAAGAUAUACAGGAUGGUCCUAUUUACUCUUGACUCAGUUUCCCUUAUAGUAACAUCUUAUAUAACUACUAGGAAAAUGAUGUUGAUACAUUCCACAUAUCUUGUUAAAAUUUAACCAGUUUUACAUGUAUUAGUUUGUUCUAUGCAAUUUUCUUGCAUGUGUAGACCCAUGUUACCACUACCAUAGAGAAAAUCCAGAAUCAUUCCAUCACCAGAGGCUCCUUCAUGCUGUCUCUUUAUACUCAUUCUUACCUCUUUCUCUAGCUCAUCCCUAACCCCUCACAACCAUUAAUCUGUUCUCCAUCUCUACAACCCUGUUAUUUCAAGAAUGCCAUAUAAUGAGAAUCAAAAUUAAGUGAACUUUUGGGACUAUUUUCACUCAGAAUAAUUCUCUUGAAAUUCAGCCAAGUUAUUGUGUGCAACAAUAACUCAUUCCUUCUUAUUGCGGAGUAGUAGUCCAUGAUAUGGAUGCACUACAGGUUCCUUAACCACUUACUAGGAUAUUACAGUUGUUUACAGUUUGAAGCUAUUAUGACUAAAGCUGACGCUCACAUUUAUAUAUAAGUUUUUAUACAGAAAUAUGUCUCCAUUUCUCUGGAAAAAAAAUCCCAAGGGUACAAUUGCCGAGUCAAAUGUUAAGUGAAUGUUUACUUUAAAAGUGUUAUAUUGUUUUUUAGAGUGGGUGUACCAUUUUACAUUACCAUCAGCAAUGUAUAAGAGGUCCUGUUUCUCAGUAUCAGGCAAUAGAUAAUGUAUGUGCCAUGUAUACGUUUCCAGAACAUGAAAGUAUAGGAAUCUUCUUUUAUUUUAUUAUGUUAGCAUACCCUUCACACUCAAACCUAGCUGUGUGCUGAAAAGGUGAUUCUCUGGAAUUUAAGGAACUUAAAACCCCUGAUUUAUAGCAACUGCAUAUUUUCCAGUUGUGGCUAUUUCCCACCGUGGUUUUCAAACUACCCACAUGACUUAAUUGAAAGUGAAUUAAGGAAAAAAAUACUCACAAGUAGUUCUCACACAGUUCUCACUGGCACAAGCCAGUUCCAGCACACUGCUGCACAUACACAAACAUAUGCACACAUGCAUACACACAUAUAUACACACAUGCAUAUUCACAGACACAUAAAAACACAGAUGCAUAGAGACACCAGAUUUAUCUCCUUCAUUCGUACAGAUGGACCAUUAAAUAAGAUGACAAGAUGAAUUUAAUAGCAUGACAUAAUCAAAUAUAGAGACAGAUAUAAAAUACAUAGAGUAUGAAACUAUGAAACAAUUUUGGAAAUAAAAGUGUAUAUUAAUGUGCAAAUAUAUGUAUAGAAUAUGAGACUGAAAACACCAAAAUGUUGAUACUGUUUAUUUCUGGGUAGUUGGAUGACAAGUGAAUUUAGUUUUUCUGAUUGUGCUUUUCUUUAUCUUUAAGGAACAUGUUUUCUUUUAAUCAGAAAGAAAUAAUUACAUAUAUAUGUAAUUAACAUAUAUUGUAUAAUAUAUAUCACAUAUAUUCCACAUAUAUGGAAUAUAUAUUGUGUUUUAAAGUUUAAAAUGUGAGGAGACCACGUCAAUGAGGAACUUGGAACCAAGUAAAACAUGGAUGGAUAUGUGACAAUAUUGUGGAAUAGAGUGAAAAUUCAGCUCAGAAAUAGUGAAGCUUAUUUUAAAUGGAAACUAAAAUAAGAUCAUGUGGAUUAAAUUAGAGAUAUUUCCAGGAGAAGAUAUGUUUGAGCAUAACUUUCCUCUCCUCCCUAUCUGAGGAAAAUUCUGGAAGAGACUUCAUACGUAUCUAUAUUUGUAUCUAUGUCAGAAAAGGAGAGAAGUAAGGCCUGGGAGGCAGCUUGCUGUUGUGAAAGGAAAAUGAAGUCAGAUGAUCCUUAAUUUGGAUACUCUUUCUUACCAUUUGGGGCAAGUUACUUCCUCAAAGCCUCAAUUUCUUCUUCUCUAGCAUGAGAUUAAUAUUUGUGAUUCAUCAGAAGGUUAAACAAAGCAAUUUUUACAAAGUAAAAAGCAAAUUUUACAAAGAAGGCUUUCAUUUUGUUCUGUCCUAUUUUAUUCUAAAUUAUGGUAUGUUACCCAAAUCCCAGUGGGAGCUUUUGUGAGUGAAUGACAUUAAAAAAUUACUGGAACAGGAAAUAUUUCCCUUUAAUGAACUAGAUGAGAUUUUUUAAAAAAAAACCACUAAUUAUGUAUUUUACAUUAUGGAAACAGAGAUUAUAUAAUGAUAAAAAGAUGUGUAUUAUAUUUUAAAAAAUAGUUACAAAAAGUAAAUCUUUUGUUUUCAUGUGAUCCAUUCAUUUGUCCAUUAUUCAACAGAUAUUUAUACAAUACUAAUUCAGUGAAAACCAGCAUUAGCUUAGGAGAAAGUAUUAGGAAGUACAAGAUUAAUGACAUCUGGGACCAAGAAAUUUUCAGUAAAAUCAAUGAAUGGCAUUUUGCUUAUUUCGGAACAGCAAAAUAGAAAUAGUCAAUACUAUAGUCUCUGCAUCUAGUCCUUCUGUGUGAAUAUGUAUCUAGAGGCUUAUGCAAAAUAAUGCCUAAGGUUAGGACAAGCACUUUUAUUCAGCUGAUAAUAAAAUAUAUAAAGUGUACAAUGAAUAUCCAAAUGUAUAAUAAUCUAAUCCAGAAUUACUCAAUCUAUGAAUUAUUAAGAUAUGGUAAGGACAAGAUUAAAACUAUGUUUUUCUGCCUGGCUGUCUUUAAACUAUUGUUACAUGGCAACCCUUUAACAACCCAGUAGUUAGCCAUGAUCAUUGUAUUAGGCUGCUUGGGUUGCUGUAACAAAAUGUUAAUACCAUAGACUGGGUGGCUUAAAUAACAGACCUUUAUUUCUCACAGUUCUGGAGGUUGGGAAGUCCAAGAUCAAGGUGCUGGCCAAUUCUGUUCCUGCCUCUCUUUUCUGGCUUAUAUAUUUCUGCCUUUUUGCCGUGUCCUUGCAAGGCAGAGAAAUAUCUUCUCCUACUCCAAUUCUUCCUUCUACUCCUUCUUUUUCUUCAUAAGCCACUAAUCCUAUCAUGACAGCCCUAUUCUCAUUACCUCAUUCAACCUUAAUUAUCUCCCAAAGGGCCCACAUCCAAAUACCGUCAUAUUGAGGGUUAAGGCUUCAACAUCUGAGUUUUGGGGGAGACACAAUUUGGUCCAGAGCAACCAUCAUUUUGCUAAUGCCAUCUGGCUUGUGAAAUAUUAAUAGCAAGUCUAAGACUUUUCUCAAUAUUCAAAGAGGAAGGCUCAAAGAGAUUUUGAUAGUUUUUGGUUGUUUGUGAAUAUAUACAAGCUGAAUAGAAGUUUCAGUGUAAGGAUGGUAUCACACCCUUUCUCACCACCUACUCCCAAAUUUUGAAAGCCAUUACUUGAGAAAUAGACAUCCUCUUGGUGUUGUCAAUGUUCCUGAAUACACAAUAAUUGUUAAUACAUUUUGCAAAGAGAAUAUGCACCGUUGAAAGGGAAUAUUACUUAUUCAUUCAUUCAAAAAAUUAUUGAGCGCUGCUAUUUUCCAAGCACUUUUCUGAAUGCUAAGAAUAUAGGAAUAAUCAAAAGAGAAAAAGUCUCUUCUCUCAAAGAGCAUAUUGCCUUGUGUUGGAGGCAAACCAUAAUUAAACAGACAAGUGAAUAUCUAGUUUGUCAGAUAAUGAUUAGUCCUAUGGAGAAGUAUAAAGCAGGAUACAGGAAAUGGGGAGGGCUGGUAGGUGGGGAGAAGAGUGGUUAUUUUAUGUAGGUAAACAGGGAACCUGAAGUAAAUAAGGGAGUGAGCCAUGCUGAUGUCAGGAGAAAAGUUUCAGAAGGUGAGGAGAACAAAUGCAGAGGCCACAAGGUGAGAGAAUGCUUAGGUGUAUGAAAGACAGCAAGGAGCCCAGUGUAUAUAGACCAACUGAACCAGAGGAAGAAUCAUAGGAGGUGAGAACGGUAAUGUAGGGGAAGAUUACGCUAAACCCUGUAUGUUAUUGUAAGAAUUUUAGCUUUUGCUGGGAGUGAGAUAGGCUACUGAAGGUUUAUGAGCAGAGGAAUCUUAUCAGAUUUAGGUUUUAAAAGUGAAAUGUGUUGGUUGUAGAAACAGCUGACUUUAGAUGGAUAAGGCAGAAAAAGUGAGAUUAAUUGCAAGAUCGUUGCAAUAAUCUAGGAGUUAAAUGGAGGUUGAAUGAAUAAGGGAGAAUGGAAGGGUGAGUGAGAAGGAAUCAGGUUUUAGAUACAUUUAGAAGAAAGAGCUAGAGCCAGCUGACAGCAUUUGCUAAUGGAUUGCAUAUGAAAGAAAGAAGUCAAGGAUAAUCCAAGUUAUUUGGUAUGAACAACGGAGAAACGAAGUUGCCAUUUGUAAAAUAAGUAAGGCUGAGGAAGGAGCAGGUUUGGGGAAAAUGGGAAAUUGAAGUCAAUUCCAGAUCAGUUAUGUUUGAGAAGCCAAUUAGAUACACACAAGGAAAUUCUGAGGAAGGAGUUAGUAUUAUUAAUUUCACUUUAGGAGAGAGAUAUGGGAUUGAGUUUGACGGUGAGUAGUUGUCACUUACAGAUGAUACAUCAAAUCACGUGACAGGAUGAGAUCCUAGAAAGUGAAUGCAAUUACAAAAGGAAUGAGGUCCGAGAAAACCUACUUGGGGCAUUCUAAAGUCAGUGGUCUGAGCGGUCAGAAGGAAUUUACAAAGGAACUGAGAAGAAGAGCCAAUGAGAAAGGGAACUUCUUUUUUUUCACAGUGAGUGCUUGUGAACUUUAAAGGAAUGUGUGAUGAGGAGACUUUUUUUUUAAAUAACUGGAAUUAUAUCUUUCUUUUCUAAUGGUCUAGUAGGAAAAACUGUUUCCUUUAGGGGAGAGGGCAAUUGCUGGAGUAAUAUCCUUAAGUAAUAUCACAAUUUAUUUAUAGUAACAGGAGAGAAUGUCAGGUAUUCAGGUGCAUAGGCAGAUAGAUUGGUACAUGUGGUUGUGGGAGCAUGAGGAACUUCUCUCUUCUUUCUUUUUAAUUCUCACUGACGCAGGAAGUAGACUCCUUGCUGGCAUGACUAUGAAGGCAGAAGAUUAAAGGUUUUUUUCUUUUUUUAAUUUAAAAUUUUUAAUUUUUGUGAGUACAUGGAAGAUUAAAAUUUGAAGAAGACAGCUUAGAAAUCUGGGAAAAUAGACCAUCCUGGCUAACACAGUGAAACCCCUUCUGUACUAAAAAUGCAAACAAUUAGCUGGGUGUGGUGGCGGGCGCCUGUAGUCG